CGUCACCUCCCGUGCCCUAAGACCUCGUCCCGAUCUGGCCGGAGUUCGCUGCAAGAGCUCCUGUCGCCGGUCAAGUUCGUCGCUGCCGUGGGUUCACAGCCCCUCCUCAUGCUCUAUCAACUUCUGCUCAACUCCGCCUUCACCGCUCCAGCCUGUCACUGUCGCCACCGGAGCAAGCUCCAAUUGUGUCGGAGGUCACCCACUUCAUCUCCGUCGCGCUCUCCACUCGUAGGUCAUAUCUGCGUAGCCGUAGGCCCUCUGUAGCCGUCGCCCAUAUCACCACCGAGCCGCCGGCGCCGUCCUUCUCCAACUCCGACGACGCCCAGCUCUGUUCUCAGCGAACACAUCACCAGCAAUAGUAAUGCGCCACGUGGAACAUCGACAGCCGCAGCAGUUCUUCGAAAAGAUCUAUUUUUGACACAAUAUUCUUUUGACAGAUUCCAUGUCAAAUGUUCAUUUAGAUUGUCCGGAGUGUGAAGCGGAUCAAAAUUAAUCGUUAGAGUACUUCAACACCGUUCAAGGCAAGUUUGCACUUUUGAUUUUGCUUAUCCUAUAUUCUAGUAUGCAUGUGUGAUUUUUAUGCUAUGAGAUGUGCUUGGUUUUAUCUGUAUGUUCUCUGUUGUCAUAUUCUGAUAUUGAUUGUAUUAUGUGAUGGUGUGAUCAACUUGCCAUGAUAGACGUGGGAUGUGUUGAGUGAUCCAUGAAAGUGGUGAGUGUUUAUAGCCGUAGGCUCGGGAUUAUUAACCAGGUGAAUGCAUCACUGGCAGAGCGCUCUAUUGUCCCUAGAGAAUGCGCCAUUGACAGAGCGCACUUGAGGCGAGGUUUAGUUUUCAGAACUUAAAUCAGGUGAAUGCGUCCUUGGCAGAGCGCUCUAUUGUUCCUAGAGAAUGCACCACUGAUAGAGCGCACUUGAGAUACUUCUGAAGUUCUUGUCAUGUUUACUUAGAAUCUUUGGGGUUAUCUUGGGCGAAUGAAUUAGGGGCGGUUGUGAGUUCAGGUAGUGGAGGUAGGUGAAGACUUUCUUCUCCAAAUUAACUUGAGUGUUUUGUUUGUCAUACUUUACUUGUGGAUGUAGGUUUGCUAUAUCUUAUUGUGUGAUUUGCCAAUACAUUCAAUGUAUUGACCCUUGUGGCUGCAACUUAUCAUGUUGGAGGAUUUUCAGAUGAUCAUUGAGAUACAGUAGGGUCGCGAGUCUUCACUCAACAUUUUCACCAGUGAGCAUUGAUGGGACUCAUCGUCUAUUAUGCUACA
This is a long non-coding RNA of Triticum aestivum (bread wheat), 1251 nucleotides long. RefSeq lists it as uncharacterized. NCBI's taxonomy places the organism in Eukaryota, Viridiplantae, Streptophyta, Magnoliopsida, Poales, Poaceae. The transcript has 4 exons. The record is from RefSeq and is a predicted model, not a curated record.